Molecule: ribosomal RNA, 637 nt
Filed under: uncultured bacterium
Lineage: Bacteria
Description: bacterial SSU rRNA
Rfam family: Bacterial small subunit ribosomal RNA
Source: RNAcentral
GCUCAACCGAAGAAGUGCAUCGGAAACUGGGAGACUUGAGUGCAGAAGAGGACAGUGGAACUCCAUGUGUAGCGGUGAAAUGCGUAGAUAUAUGGAAGAACACCAGUGGCGAAGGCGGCUGUCUGGUCUGUAACUGACGCUGAGGCUCGAAAGUAUGGGUAGCAAACAGGAUUAGAUACCCUGGUAGUCCAUACCGUAAACGAUGAAUGCUAAGUGUUGGAGGGUUUCCGCCCUUCAGUGCUGCAGCUAACGCAUUAAGCAUUCCGCCUGGGGAGUACGGCCGCAAGGCUGAAACUCAAAGGAAUUGACGGGGGCCCGCACAAGCGGUGGAGCAUGUGGUUUAAUUCGAAGCUACGCGAAGAACCUUACCAGGUCUUGACAUACUAUGCAAAUCUAAGAGAUUAGACGUUCCCUUCGGGGACAUGGAUACAGGUGGUGCAUGGUUGUCGUCAGCUCGUGUCGUGAGAUGUUGGGUUAAGUCCCGCAACGAGCGCAACCCUUAUUAUCAGUUGCCAGCAUUAAGUUGGGCACUCUGGUGAGACUGCCGGUGACAAACCAGAGGAAGGUGGGGAUGACGUCAAAUCAUCAUGCCCCUUAUGACCUGGGCUACACACGUGCUACAAUGGAUGGUACAACG